RNAcentral lists this long non-coding RNA (970 nucleotides) under Homo sapiens (human). RNAcentral's name for it is "novel transcript". The record is from RNAcentral. Lineage: Eukaryota; Metazoa; Chordata; Mammalia; Primates; Hominidae.
GUGGAAGCUUUGUUCUUUUCGUUUUUUGCAAUAAAUCUUGUUGCUGCUCGCUUUUUGGGUCCACAUUGCUUUUAUGAGCUGUACCACUCACCGUGAAGAUCUGCAGCUUCACUUCAGAGCCUAGCGAGACCACAAGCUCACUGAGAGGAACAAACAACUCCAGACGCGCUGUCUUAAGAGCUAUAACACUCACCGCGAAGGUGUGCAGUUUCACUCCUGAGCUAGUGAGACUACGAAGCCACUGGAACGAAGAAACUCCAACCACGUUUGAACAUCAGAAGGGGCAGACUCCAGACGCUUCAUCUUAAGAGCUGUAACACUCACUGUGAAGGUCUGCAGCUUCACUCCUGAGCCAGCGAGACCACGAACCGAUCUGAACAUCAGAAGGGACAGACUCCAGAUGCCCCACCUUAAGAGCUGUAAUACUCACUGCAAGGGUCUGCAGCUUCAUUCUUGAAGUCAGACCAAGAACCCAGCAAUUCCCAACACACAGGGACCAGCUUCUUUCCUAACUCACUUAGGCUCUUCGUGCUGCUCUGGCAACUAACACCCUUGGCUGCAGGGGCUUGGACACUACCCUUAGUCACUGACAAUUGUGUGAAGGCUGCUGUCGUUAACUUCACUUGAUCACCUUAGGCUCCUGUGAAGUGGUGAGCAAUUCAAACAAAUUCCUGUCGUCAAAUCAUACAUGAAAAAAACAAGUGUCUCGAAUGUCAGCUGCGGGACGGGCUUGUGCAAGGAGGGCUCUGAAGCUCUGGGAGAGGCAGCUUGGACUCAGAGAGAUGGAGAAAUUGCACUGCAGAGAAAUCUUUAAAAGCAAUUACCUAAUACUGCAGAUUGCUGAACUGUACCCACACCCAAGACUGAGCAUUGGAUCAAUCCAGAAUAUACAUCAGGUGUUCUGCAAUGUCUGCCUAAAACCAUGACUCUGCCUCCUCCAGCUGUUGCUACAUCUCACUAUGGGUUUCCU